Non-coding RNA from Psammomys obesus (fat sand rat), 438 nucleotides. NCBI's taxonomy places the organism in Eukaryota, Metazoa, Chordata, Mammalia, Rodentia, Muridae. The record is from the annotation of a RefSeq genome assembly.
CAGACAGGCAGAGGCAUUAAGAUGGAGUCACAGAUCCAGGUCUUCAUAUUUCUGCUCUUCUGGAUGUCUGGUGCUGAAGGGGACAUUGUGAUGACCCAGUCUCCUGAAAUCAUGUCCACAUCUGUAGGAGAAAGGAUCUCAAUAAGCUGCAAGUCCAGUCAGAGUGUAUAUAGUAAUGUAGCCUGGUAUCAACAGAAAUCAGGGCAGCCUCCUAAACUGCUAAUCUAUGGUGCAUCCUAUCGGCAAACUGGGGUCCCUGAUCGCUUCACAGGCAGUGGAUCUGGGACAGAUUUCACUCUCAGCAUCAGCAGUGUGCAGGCUGAAGACCUGGCAGUUUAUUACUGUCAGCAGUAUUAUGACUAUCCUCCCACAGUGCUUCAGCUUCUAACAAAAACCUCACUGAGAGUUUCAACAGCUGCCUGCACCACACAGCCCUGA